AAUACAGAGGGUGCAAGCGUUAAUCGGAAUUACUGGGCGUAAAGCGCGCGUAGGCGGCUGUCUAAGUCGGGUGUGAAAGCCCCGGGCUCAACCUGGGAACUGCAUUCGAUACUGGACGGCUAGAGUAUGAGAGAGGGAGGUAGAAUUCCACGUGUAGCGGUGAAAUGCGUAGAUAUGUGGAGGAAUACCGGUGGCGAAGGCGGCCUCCUGGUUCAAUACUGACGCUGAGGUGCGAAAGCGUGGGGAGCAAACA
RNAcentral lists this ribosomal RNA (253 nucleotides) under uncultured prokaryote. Its description in RNAcentral is "partial 16S ribosomal RNA". It matches the Rfam family "Bacterial small subunit ribosomal RNA", at positions 522 to 774 of the family's 1533-position model. The record is from RNAcentral.